UACGUAGGGUGCAAGCGUUAAUCGGAAUUACUGGGCGUAAAGCGUGCGCAGGCGGUUCGUUGUGUCGGCGGUGAAAGCCCCGGGCUCAACCUGGGAAUGGCCGUUGAAACUGGCGAACUGGAGUGUGGCAGAGGGGGGUGGAAUUCCGCGUGUAGCAGUGAAAUGCGUAGAGAUGCGGAGGAACACCGAUGGCGAAGGCAGCCCCCUGGGCUAACACUGACGCUCAGGCACGAAAGCGUGGGGAGCAAACAGG
This 253-nucleotide ribosomal RNA is filed under the name uncultured bacterium. RNAcentral's name for it is "partial 16S ribosomal RNA". It matches the Rfam family "Bacterial small subunit ribosomal RNA", at positions 524 to 776 of the family's 1533-position model. The record is from RNAcentral.